UGAAUACGAGAUGCUACGGCGUCGAAGCAGUGUAUGUCAGACUUCCAAGAAAAGCUCGCAAUGUCAUAAAUAAAGAAUGCCUGUACCAUAACCGACACAGGUGGGUAGGUAGAGUAUACUAAGGGGCGCGAGAUAACUCUCUCUAAGGAACUCGGCAAAAUAACUCCGUAACUUCGGGAGAAGGAGUGCCUUCUUUAAGAAGGUUGCAAUAACAAGAUCCAAGCAACUGUUUAUCAAAAACACAGGUCUCCGCUAAGUCGUAAGACGAUGUAUGGGGGCUGACGCCUGCCCAGUGCCAGAAGGUUAAAGAAGUUGGUUAGCUUUUGCGAAGCUGAUGACUGAAGCCCUGGUGAACGGCGGCCGUAACGAUAACGGUCCUAAGGUAGCGAAAUUCCUUGUCGGGUAAGUUCCGACCCGCACGAAAGGCGUAAUGAUUUGGAUACUGUCUCGGAGAGGGACUCGGUGAAAUAGACUUGUCUGUGAAGAUGCGGACUACCUGCACCAGGACAGAAAGACCCUAUGAAGCUUUACUGUAACUUGAAAUUGAAAUUGGACUUUAUUUGCGCAGUAUAGGUGGAAGGCGUUGAAAGUAAUCUUGCGGGAUUAGUGGAGCCAUCAGUGAGAUACCACUCCUAUAAUGUUAGAUUUCUAACUUUGGAUCAUGAUCUGGUCAAAGAACAGUUUCAGGCGGGCAGUUUGACUGGGGCGGUCGCCUCCCAAAUGGUAACGGAGGCGUACAAAGGUUUCCUCUGAACGGGUAGAAAUCGUAUCUAGAGUGUAAAGGCAUAAGGAAGCUUGACUGUGAGACCUACAAGUCGAGCAGGGACGAAAGUCGGUCUUAGUGAUCUGACGGUGCUGAGUGGAAAGGCCGUCACUCAACGGAUAAAAGUUACUCUAGGAUAACAGGCUGAUCUCCCCCAAGAGUUCACAUCGACGGGGAGGUUUGGCACCUCGAUGUCGGCUCAUCGCAUCCUGGGGCGGUAGUACGUCCCAAGGGUUGGGCUGUUCGCCCAUGAAAGCGGUACGCGAGCUGGGUUCAGAACGUCGUGAGACAGUUCGUUCCAUAUCCGGUGUAGGCGUUAGAAUAUUGAGAGGAGCCUUCUUUAGUACGAGAGGACCGAGAAGGACAUACCUCUGGUGUACCAGUUAUCGUGCCAACGGUAAACGCUGGGUAGCUAUGUAUGGAGAGGAUAACCGCUGAAAGCAUCUAAGUGGGAAGCCCACCUCAAGAUGAGUAUUCUCAC
RNAcentral lists this ribosomal RNA (1244 nucleotides) under metagenome. RNAcentral describes it as "bacterial LSU rRNA". It matches the Rfam family "Bacterial large subunit ribosomal RNA", at positions 1564 to 2817 of the family's 2925-position model. The record is from RNAcentral.